RNAcentral lists this long non-coding RNA (424 nucleotides) under Sorghum bicolor (sorghum). RNAcentral's name for it is "long non-coding RNA (SBIC_LNC004686)". The record is from RNAcentral. Lineage: Eukaryota; Viridiplantae; Streptophyta; Magnoliopsida; Poales; Poaceae.
GGCCGCGGUCCACUGCGCUUGGCUGGGCCGAGGGAAAUACAGGGGGGUGGGGUGUGGGCCUCCGGGCCAAAACCAAAGGGGAGGGUUGUUCUUCUUUUUUUUUCAUUUUCACUUUUUAAACAAACCUUUUUCAAAACAUUUUCAAAACCAAAUUUAAAUUCCUUUUUAACUUUAGUCAAAACCACUCAUCACAAUAAAUCAAAUGCAAAGUCAUGCAUGCUCAAACAAGUUGCUAGAUCCUAUGGUAAAUUUUAAUUUAAAGAAAAAUAUUAUUUUUCCUAUAUUUCAUGGGUACAAAAAUACACAAGUUAACAAUUUAUCCUAUUUUGGAAAAUUGCAAAUUUUGGGGUGUUACAAUUCUACCCCCCUUAAAAUGAAUCUCGUCCUCGAGAUUCGGUUGGUGCUUUCUCAAACUAAUGCGGAU